GCUGGAGUGGCGGAAUGGCAUACGCGGUGGUCUCAAAAACCAUUGGGUUUACGCCCGUGAGGGUUCGACUCCCUCCUCCAGCA
Molecule: transfer RNA, 83 nt
Filed under: Candidatus Velamenicoccus archaeovorus
Lineage: Bacteria; Pseudomonadati; Candidatus Omnitrophota
Description: Velamenicoccus archaeovorus tRNA
Rfam family: tRNA
About the family: Transfer RNA (tRNA) molecules are approximately 80 nucleotides in length. Their secondary structure includes four short double-helical elements and three loops (D, anti-codon, and T loops). Further hydrogen bonds mediate the characteristic L-shaped molecular structure. tRNAs have two regions of fundamental functional importance: the anti-codon, which is responsible for specific mRNA codon recognition, and the 3' end, to which the tRNAs corresponding amino acid is attached (by aminoacyl-tRNA synthetases). tRNAs cope with the degeneracy of the genetic code in two manners: having more than one tRNA (with a specific anti-codon) for a particular amino acid; and 'wobble' base-pairing, i.e. permitting non-standard base-pairing at the 3rd anti-codon position.
Source: Rfam by way of RNAcentral